Molecule: ribosomal RNA, 669 nt
Filed under: uncultured bacterium
Lineage: Bacteria
Description: bacterial SSU rRNA
Rfam family: Bacterial small subunit ribosomal RNA
Source: RNAcentral
CCCGAGUGCUUGCACUCAAUUGGAAAGAGGAGUGGCGGACGGGUGAGUAACACGUGGGUAACCUACCCAUCAGAGGGGGAUAACACUUGGAAACAGGUGCUAAUACCGCAUAACAGUUUAUGCCGCAUGGCAUAAGAGUGAAAGGCGCUUUCGGGUGUCGCUGAUGGAUGGACCCGCGGUGCAUUAGCUAGUUGGUGAGGUAACGGCUCACCAAGGCCACGAUGCAUAGCCGACCUGAGAGGGUGAUCGGCCACACUGGGACUGAGACACGGCCCAGACUCCUACGGGAGGCAGCAGUAGGGAAUCUUCGGCAAUGGACGAAAGUCUGACCGAGCAACGCCGCGUGAGUGAAGAAGGUUUUCGGAUCGUAAAACUCUGUUGUUAGAGAAGAACAAGGACGUUAGUAACUGAACGUCCCCUGACGGUAUCUAACCAGAAAGCCACGGCUAACUACGUGCCAGCAGCCGCGGUAAUACGUAGGUGGCAAGCGUUGUCCGGAUUUAUUGGGCGUAAAGCGAGCGCAGGCGGUUUCUUAAGUCUGAUGUGAAAGCCCCCGGCUCAACCGGGGAGGGUCAUUGGAAACUGGGAGACUUGAGUGCAGAAGAGGAGAGUGGAAUUCCAUGUGUAGCGGUGAAAUGCGUAGAUAUAUGGAGGAACACCAGUGGCGAA